UCCCAGACUCCUACGGGAGGCAGCAGUGGGGAAUAUUGCACAAUGGGGGAAACCCUGAUGCAGCAACGCCGCGUGAGUGAGGAAGUAUUUCGGUAUGUAAAGCUCUAUCAGCAGGGAAUAGAAAAGAAGGUACCUGAAAAAGAAGCCCCGGCUAACUACGUGCCAGCAGCCGCGGUAAUACGUAGGGGGCAAGCGUUAUCCGGAUUUACUGGGUGUAAAGGGAGCGCAGGCGGCCUUGCAAGUCUGAUGUGAAAGGCCGGGGCCCAACCCCGGGACUGCAUUGGAAACUGCGAGGCUGGAGUGUCGGAGAGGCAGGCGGAAUUCCUAGUGUAGCGGUGAAAUGCGUAGAUAUUAGGAGGAACACCAGUGGCGAAGGCGGCCUGCUGGACGAUGACUGACGCUGAGGCUCGAAAGUGUGGGGAGCAAACAGGAUUAGAUACCCGAGUA
Molecule: ribosomal RNA, 447 nt
Filed under: uncultured bacterium
Lineage: Bacteria
Description: partial 16S ribosomal RNA
Rfam family: Bacterial small subunit ribosomal RNA
Source: RNAcentral